Molecule: ribosomal RNA, 496 nt
Filed under: uncultured bacterium
Lineage: Bacteria
Description: partial 16S ribosomal RNA
Rfam family: Bacterial small subunit ribosomal RNA
Source: RNAcentral
GAUGAACGCUGGCGGCGUGCCUAAUACAUGCAAGUCGAGCGAACAGACGAGGAGCUUGCUCCUCUGACGUUAGCGGCGGACGGGUGAGUAACACGUGGAUAACCUACCUAUAAGACUGGGAUAACUUCGGGAAACCGGAGCUAAUACCGGAUAAUAUAUUGAACCGCAUGGUUCAGUAGUGAAAGACGGUUUUGCUGUCACUUAUAGAUGGAUCCGCGCCGCAUUAGCUAGUUGGUAAGGUAACGGCUUACCAAGGCGACGAUGCGUAGCCGACCUGAGAGGGUGAUCGGCCACACUGGAACUGAGACACGGUCCAGACUCCUACGGGAGGCAGCAGUAGGGAAUCUUCCGCAAUGGGCGAAAGCCUGACGGAGCAACGCCGCGUGAGUGAUGAAGGUCUUCGGAUCGUAAAACUCUGUUAUUAGGGAAGAACAAAUGUGUAAGUAACUAUGCACGUCUUGACGGUACCUAAUCAGAAAGCCACGGCUAACUACGU